AACGAACGCUGGCGGCAGGCCUAACACAUGCAAGUCGAGCGAGACCUUCGGGUUUAGCGGCGGACGGGUGAGUAACGCGUGGGAAUAUGCCCUUCGGUUCGGAAUAGCCCCGGGAAACUGGGAGUAAUACCGGAUACGGUCUACGGACGAAAGAUUUAUCGCCGAGGGAUUAGCCCGCGUUGGAUUAGGUAGUUGGUGGGGUAAUGGCCUACCAAGCCGACGAUCCAUAGCUGGUUUGAGAGGAUGAUCAGCCACACUGGGACUGAGACACGGCCCAGACUCCUACGGGAGGCAGCAGUGGGGAAUCUUAGACAAUGGGGGAAACCCUGAUCUAGCCAUGCCGCGUGAGCGAUGAAGGCCUUAGGGUUGUAAAGCUCUUUCAGCUGGGAAGAUAAUGACUGUACCAGCAGAAGAAGCCCCGGCUAACUCCGUGCCAGCAGCCGCGGUAAU
Molecule: ribosomal RNA, 450 nt
Filed under: uncultured bacterium
Lineage: Bacteria
Description: bacterial SSU rRNA
Rfam family: Bacterial small subunit ribosomal RNA
Source: RNAcentral